UGUAUCUGCAUGCCUAUGAAAUAGGAGGCUUCGAGGGUGAUACACAGGUGCUGCAUGGCCGCCGUCAGCUCGUGUCGUGAGAUGUAGGGUUAAGUCCCGAAACGAGCGCAACCCCUAUUCUAUGUUACAAGUGUCUUAGAAAACGCCUCGGUAAACGAGGAGGAAGGUGGGGAUGACGUCUGGUCCGCAUAACCCUUAUGUCCUGGGCUACACACGCGCUACAAUGGCCGAUACAGUAGGAAGCCAAAUCGUAAGAUGGAGCUAAUCCUUAAAGUCGGUCUCAGUUCGGAUUGAGGUCUGAAAUUCGACCUCAUGAAGUUGGAUUUGCUAGUAAUCGUAGAUCAGCAAUGCUACGGUGAAUACGUUCUCGGGUCUU
This 376-nucleotide ribosomal RNA is filed under the name uncultured Thermovirga sp. RNAcentral's name for it is "bacterial SSU rRNA". It matches the Rfam family "Bacterial small subunit ribosomal RNA", at positions 987 to 1382 of the family's 1533-position model. The record is from RNAcentral. Lineage: Bacteria; Thermotogati; Synergistota; Synergistia; Synergistales; Thermovirgaceae.